AUGGUUAUAAAAUGUGUAAUGUUUGGUUUCACAGUUUCCUUCCAGUACUUAAAUAUAUGGACUAUUAGCAUGAGCCAAAUAAUACAAUGUGUCAAUCAAUAUUCCAAAAUGUGGCUGUUGUUUAGAUCAAACAUAGAGAAAGGCCAUGUCCUGCAACACAACAACAAAUACUAUUUACAAGCGCAAGCAACAGAACAUCUACAUUUACAGGACGUGCCACCAAUAGCUCUGUUGCCUCUCACAGAUGCAUCGACGUCACAAUACAUCAAGCAACUUUCGUCCUCUUCACCGCAAGCAAGCGAACAACUUCAGUCCGAUCCGCUUACUACUCUGCCCUCUAUUGAUCACACUGAGCAUCAAGAUGUGUUGCUCGCAGCAGAGAAAAACCAAACACUGACAUCGACCCAUCCACUUGAAUUCUUAAGUGAACUUACACCCCACCGAUUAAAUUUUUUAUAA
Molecule: ribosomal RNA, 459 nt
Filed under: Triticum aestivum (bread wheat)
Lineage: Eukaryota; Viridiplantae; Streptophyta; Magnoliopsida; Poales; Poaceae
Description: partial small subunit ribosomal RNA
Source: RNAcentral